Molecule: ribosomal RNA, 255 nt
Filed under: uncultured bacterium
Lineage: Bacteria
Description: partial 16S ribosomal RNA
Rfam family: Bacterial small subunit ribosomal RNA
Source: RNAcentral
UACGUAGGGGGCAAGCGUUGUCCGGAUUUAUUGGGCGUAAAGAGCGUGUAGGCGGCCGUACAGGUCAGCUGUGAAAACUCGAGGCUCAACCUCGAGACGUCGGUUGAAACCGUACGGCUAGAGUCCGGAAGAGGAGAGUGGAAUUCCCGGUGUAGCGGUGAAAUGACGCAGAUAUCGGGAAGAACACCCGUGGCGAAGGCGGCUCUCUGGGACGGUACUGAACGCGUGAGACGCGAAAGCGUGGGGAGCAACAGG